CUUUUGUGACUGAGUGGCGGACGGGUGAGUAACGCGUGGGUAACCUGCCUCAUAGAGGGGGACAACAGUUGGAAACGACUGCUAAUACCGCAUAGUAAGGAGAAUUCGCAUGUUUUCUUCUUGAAAGCUUUUGCGCUAUGAGAUGGACCCGCGUCUGAUUAGCUAGUUGGUAAGGUAACGGCUUACCAAGGCGACGAUCAGUAGCCGGCUUGAGAGAGUGAACGGCCACAUUGGGACUGAGACACGGCCCAGACUCCUACGGGAGGCAGCAGUGGGGAAUAUUGCACAAUGGGGGAAACCCUGAUGCAGCGACGCCGCGUGGAGGAAGAAGGUCUUCGGAUUGUAAACUCCUGUUGUUGAGGAAGAUAAUGACGGUACUCAACAAGGAAGUGACGGCUAACUACGUGCCAGCAGCCGCGGUAAAACGUAGGUCACAAGCGUUGUCCGGAAUUACUGGGUGUAAAGGGAGCGCAGGCGGGAAGACAAGUUGGAAGUGAAACCCAUGGGCUCAACCCAUGAACUGCUUUCAAAACUGUUUUUCUUGAGUAGUGCAGAGGUAGGCGGAAUUCCCGGUGUAGCGGUGGAAUGCGUAGAUAUCGGGAGGAACACCAGUGGCGAAGGCGGCCUACUGGGCACCAACUGACGCUGAGGCUCGAAAGUGUGGGUAGCAAACAGAAUUAGAUACCCUGGUAGUCCACACUGUAAACGAUGAUUACUAGGUGUUGGAGGAUUGACCCCUUCAGUGCCGCAGUUAACACAAUAAGUAAUCCACCUGGGGAGUACGACCGCAAGGUUGAAACUCAAAGGAAUUGACGGGGGCCCGCACAAGCAGUGGAGUAUGUGGUUUAAUUCGACGCAACGCGAAGAACCUUACCAAGUCUUGACAUCCUGCGACGGUUCUGGAAACAGAACUUUCCUUCGGGACGCAGAGACAGGUGGUGCAUGGUUGUCGUCAGCUCGUGUCGUGAGAUGUUGGGUUAAGUCCCGCAACGAGCGCAACCCUUAUGGUCAGUUACUACGCAAGAGGACUCUGGCCAGACUGCCGUUGACAAAACGGAGGAAGGUGGGGAUGACGUCAAAUCAUCAUGCCCUUUAUGACUUGGGCUACACACGUACUACAAUGGCGUUAAACAAGGAGAAGCAAGACCGCGAGGUGGAGCAAAACUCAGAAUCAACGUCCCAGUUUGGACUGCAGGCUGCAACUCGCCUGCACGAAGUCGGAAUUGCUAGUAAUCGCAGAUCAGCAUGCUGCGGUGAAUACGUUCCCGGGCCUUGCACUCAAAGCCCGUCA
Molecule: ribosomal RNA, 1291 nt
Filed under: uncultured bacterium
Lineage: Bacteria
Description: bacterial SSU rRNA
Rfam family: Bacterial small subunit ribosomal RNA
Source: RNAcentral